RNAcentral lists this transfer-messenger RNA (355 nucleotides) under Candidatus Nutricula glyptotermitis. It matches the Rfam family "transfer-messenger RNA". From Rfam's summary of the family: Bacterial tmRNA, also known as 10Sa RNA or SsrA, is named for its dual tRNA and mRNA-like properties. Its role is to liberate the mRNA from a stalled ribosome. To accomplish this part of the tmRNA is used as a reading frame that ends in a translation stop signal. Lineage: Bacteria; Bacillati; Actinomycetota; Actinomycetes; Bifidobacteriales; Bifidobacteriaceae. The record is from RNAcentral.
GGGGAUGAUUGGCAUCGACUGUAUUAUGUGAUUCAGAGUAAGCGAGCGGAGAAUGUGCCUAACUCUUUAAAAUUGGUGCAAACUAUAAGUGCAAACACAAAUCGCACUGGUUAUGCCCUAGCGGCGUAAUCCGUCCGACUGAUAAUUUUGCUUUCGGUCAUCAGUUGGGCGUCGUAACUAGAAAGCCACUGGUCAUUUGUCAUGUUGGUGGGCAAAUGGCGAGACUUUAAUCAACUUGGGUAUGCUAUUUCGUCUGUUUGAGACGCAUACUUGAAACUUAACAAGCAGACUGCGCUCGGAGAAAGUUUUGAUGAAGUAAUUUGGGACCCGGGUUCGACUCCCGGCAUCUCCACAU